RNAcentral lists this long non-coding RNA (1495 nucleotides) under Salmo salar (Atlantic salmon). Its description in RNAcentral is "lncRNA (ENSSSAG00000096964.1)". The record is from RNAcentral. Lineage: Eukaryota; Metazoa; Chordata; Actinopteri; Salmoniformes; Salmonidae.
AUAUAGUUACAGCAGUUAAUAAUUAAAGAGGGAACUAGAUCAAAGAAAAACAUUUAAAAAACAAACUAAUUGUACAAAGUACAUAUUAGACCAAACUAUUGAGAUUUACCCCUAGAAUGAUUUUGACAUGUCAUUAUAUUCCAACACUAAUGAAAGAAAUGUCAUAUCUACAUUCUUGAGUGUUACGUAAUAUAUUAGAUUUAUUAAUAACAAGACAAGUACAAACCAGGCGAGGCUCUUCAACAGUUUUAAAACAUUGUAGUGGUCCACAUUUUCAGUGACAUGCCCAAAAUAACUCAAAGUAAAUAUCAUCCCGGUCCUGGUGAAUUUAAAUUUAAAUAUAGUUAAUAAUUAAAGAGGGAACUAUGAUCAAAUAAAACAUUUAAAAAUUAAAAAAUUGUACAAUAGGAAAGUUGUUGUUUCUUUUAGUUAUUUUCAGUAUAAAAAUUUGACUGAUAAAUAGUGUGCAAGUGUGAAUACAUCAUGAAUUGAUGUCUGUGAGAACCUAUAAGUGUUAAAUAAUAGUAACUUGAAAUAAUAGUAAUAAUAAUAAUAAUUAUAGUAACUUGAAAGAUAAAGGCCCUAGCUUCCAUCAAAUCAGCUGUUAACCAGAGGUAGCCGACAGCUAGGGUUUUGGUACUGUCGGAGGUGUAGCUGAUCCAAAUCAGCUGUCAAAUCGGUAAGCAGCAGCUCUUCAUCACGAAAAGUACACCGGCCCUACUCGUGUUACAAGUUCACAACGAGGCAAGUGUGUAGGUUAUAUAGAAAAUAUUUGACGCUCAAUUUUGUAAAAUCAUUAAAAUGAUUAUCAUUAUCAACCUAAUCGAGGUGUUGAUUACAUCUCGCAUUCCAGUGUUCCAACAAGGCUACAUGGGAUUUCUGUUAAUGCGUCUUCGUGCAGCCAAUGUCCGCUUUAGGUCAAUUUAAACAGCUCUUCAUUUUUUUAUUUAACUAGGCAAGUCUUAUAAAUAAGAAUUUGUUCUUAACUGACUUGCCUAGUUAAAAUAAAAUAGACAGAGCUAUGCAUGCAAAUACUGACCAUCCAUGAUAUCAGAAUUAUAGUUUUAAUAAUGUUUUAAAAUUAUACAGUGUUUGUUAGCAUUGUUUAGAAACAUUGGAGUAAAACAAGUUUAUAUUUUGGGUUCUGAUGAGGUAGGACAGUUGAGCUAAACUCAUGAGGCAUUCAUAUGUUAUAUUCUUCUAGAAUCAAUGGGAAGAUAUAAUUUAUAAGUCAAAAAAUGGGUGUAGCAACUAAAAGCUAGAAUCCUAUGAGAGAUGGGAAACCGUUGAUUGGUUAAACCAAUGCCACAGCAGCUAUGUCCCAGGCUAUUGGUUAGCCAGCAGCUAGCAGAGCCACAGCAGCUAUCAGAGCCACAGCAGCUAGCAGAGCCACAGCAGCUAUGCCCCAGGCUAUUAGCUAGCCUAGCAGCUGUACCAUUAACAGAGCCAAAGCAGCCAGAGCGAAGGCAGUGGGUCGGGGAGCACUUCCUGACAC